This 443-nucleotide ribosomal RNA is filed under the name uncultured bacterium. RNAcentral's name for it is "partial 16S ribosomal RNA". It matches the Rfam family "Bacterial small subunit ribosomal RNA", at positions 338 to 795 of the family's 1533-position model. The record is from RNAcentral.
CCUACGGGAGGCAGCAGUGGGGAAUAUUGGGCAAUGGGCGCAAGCCUGACCCAGCAACGCCGCGUGAAGGAAGACGGCUUUCGGGUUUUAAACUUCUUUUCUUAUGGACGAAGCAAGUGACGGUACCUGAGGUAUAAGUCUCGGCUAACUACGUGCCAGCAGCCGCGGUAAUACGUAGGCGGCAAGCGUUAUCCGGAUUUACUGGGUGUAAAGGGCGUGUAGGCGGGAAAGGAAGGCAGAUGUGAAACUCAUGGGCUUAACCUGUGGCCUGCAUUUGAAACUGGUUGUCUUGAGUAAAGGAGAGGCGGACGGAAGUCGUAGUGUAGCGGUGAAAUGCGUAGAUAUUAGGAGGAACACCAGUGGCGAAGGCGGUCUGCUGGACAGCAACUGACGCUGAGGCGCGAAAGCGUGGGGAGCAAACAGGAUUAGAUACCCGAGUAGUC